UGCAGCCUGUAUUAGCUUUUAAUUUAAAAUGUAAUAUGCAUCCAUUGUAGAUCAUCCAAACAUUGCUCUUGUAGAAUGUUAAAAUGAAAGCUUUCUGCUUACAGUCAUCACUAUCUAUGGAAGGCCCCCUUUUUAUUCUAGCUGUUUAAUAAUAAAAAUGACAUAUAGAUGAUGAACAAAAAAAAGGAAAUAAAAAACUUCUAACUACUGUACUUAGAAAUAACAACCAAAUUUGUUUCAAGCUUUUCCCCUUUUCUGAGGGUGCCUUUUUUAAAACAGAAAAUUUAGAAUCUCGUAGACUUUGUGUGCUCGCCUGAAUUUUAUUGCGGGUUUAUUGCUGAGGGAUUUCUCUUGUUAACUCACUGAGCAAGACUCAAAUGGCAGUCGGGAGUGUUCGGAUUAUCCCUGGAGUCCUAACCAACAUAUCCAUGGGAUAAUUCAGGGGACUGGUGAAACUGGAGGGAAAAUGAUCGCAUCUUUAUCUCCUCUAAGGCCCAACUGAAAUUUAGCUUUUCCUUCCAUGACGGACAUAGGCAACAAGCCAAUCAUGUUAUCAGAAUCUGUCAUUUUGUCACCAACAAAAUCACAGAUAUUUUCUCAUCACGUAUAGCCAUGGCUGCUUUUCCAAACUGUAAUUUGAGCUCAAGUGCUACUUCGAGGUAAGGACGUUAUUAGACUCUCUGUGAGAUCCAUGUUUCUAAAAUAGCACAUAUCUGACUAUAUCACAAUUUAAAAUAUUUGGUAACUGUAUUUCAAUGUAAUUGUUUCUUUUGUAAUUCCACAAAUUUUAUACAUUUGAAAACAUUCUGAGAAGAGCUUAUUGGCUUUGUAAAACUUCCAGAAGGGUCUGAGAUUCCCAGAAGCUUAACAGCGCCUGGAUUGGAGAGAAAUGCUUUUUUCCCUGAAGUCGCUGAUCAUUUAUUUUUAAUUUUUAAUUUUUAAAAAACGCAGAGCCCCUUUGCAGAACUCAACUGCCUCCUGCUUCUCACCCAAAUCCUUUCUUGUUUUUCAGAGCCGAACGCAGCCGGCGCCAGGGUCCCGCGGAGAGAGGCAGCAGGAAGUGAGGCUGAGGGGCUGUCUGUGUCGCGCAGGCAGCCGGGCAGGGCUGUUUUCCAUGGCUGCUGGCCCUCUCCUUAGAUGAGUACACAGCUGCUUUUCACAGCGCUCAGCCUGCCCUCCUGGAGGGAUCCUUUGAGGAGAAAAUCCAUCUCAACAUCCACAUGUUGUGUAUCACUUCAACGCGGGGCAGGGCAACGAAGACCAAAGCUCCCCCACUUUCAGGAGGCGACUCCCCCUUCUUUGCUGGACAGGGGCGGACAGGAACCGCGUUGGCUUUGGCAGUUCACAGGGCAGUGGAUCAGGGCCCCAGGAGGAGCAAGAUGGUGCAGCUGUAGGCACUUCUGAGUGACGAGAGGCAGGCGUGCGUUGAAGGUGAUCUGCGGGGCCCUCACACACAGGGCUGGGCAAGGUCCUGCAGUCGUGGGGAACGUGGAAGUUCUGACCCAGGCCUUCUGUCACCGGUCCCAAGCCCACGUCGUUUCUGCGACAGCAUGACUGCCCAGUAAGUCAUCUGCUUACCAGUGUCCCCCGAGCCAAGGACAGCAAUGGAAAGCCGUGUGGUAUCACUCCGGAAGAGGAAAGUCGGUGGCCCUUUAAGCAGGAUGAAGUCAAUCCUGCAGGCCACAUGGUUUGCCACGUGGCACAUGCCUCCCCCUGUGACCUCAUUCAAUCCCUGCAGAGCCCCUGGCGGCCAUCGUCGUAUGGUUGGCACCAGCACGGACUCCAGAGCCCACCGCCUGGCCUAUGGCCCCAGCUCUGUCCUUGUUAGCGGUGGAACCUGGGCAGCAACUUAACCUGUCUGGGCCUCUGUUUCUUCAUGCAUAAAAUAAGAAUAGCACUGGUACUCCUGUGCAGGGCUGCUGCGAGAAUCAAGGUGCCUCGCUGGAAAUUAAUGUGAGGGGAGCUAGUGUGAUCUGUGAAGGCUCCUUUGAGCAUGUGACAUCUGAGCUGCCCUCUGAAGAUGACAAGGAUCCAGAUGUGACGGGGAGAAGGAGAUGCUGCAGGCAGAGGACAAAGUUAAGGACACAGUACUCCUCCCUUCUGAAGGGCACAGCAACAAGGCGCCACCACGGAAGCAGGGUCCAGGCCCUCACCUGACAUGAAGCCUGCCAGGGCCUUCAUCUUGGACAUCCCAGCCUCCAGAGCAGGGUAAGUUCUGCUUUUUAUAAAUUACCCAGUCUCAGAUAUUUUGGACUAAGACAGUGCAUGCUGGUGACCUUGCGUAAGUACCAAAAAUGUCCCAAUUGGCAGUUCCUGUCCCCACCUGAUAGCUCCUCUCAGCCCACACAUGGGCCUACCAGGGGUGCUAGGGGGUCCUCAGUAGCCAUGGAUGGAAGUUGGGAGAUAAAUACCCGUAAUUUCACAC
Molecule: long non-coding RNA, 2425 nt
Organism: Nomascus leucogenys (northern white-cheeked gibbon)
Lineage: Eukaryota; Metazoa; Chordata; Mammalia; Primates; Hylobatidae
Exons: 3
Source: RefSeq, a predicted model, not a curated record